This 480-nucleotide ribosomal RNA is filed under the name uncultured bacterium. RNAcentral describes it as "bacterial SSU rRNA". It matches the Rfam family "Bacterial small subunit ribosomal RNA", at positions 28 to 526 of the family's 1533-position model. The record is from RNAcentral.
GAUCAACGCUGGCGGCGUGCCUAAUGCAUGCAAGUCGAACGGGGUCGCUUUCGGGCGGCUCACGUGGCGGACGGGUGAGGAACACGUGGGCAAUCUGCCCUUCGGUGGGGGGUAUCCCGUGGAAACAAGGGGUAAUUCCGCAUACGCUCGUCCCUCGAGUAGGGGGGAUGAGGAAAGCCUUCGGGCGCCGAUGGAGGAGCCUGCGACCGAUUAGCUAGCUGGUGGGGUAACGGCCUACCAGGGCGAUGAUCGGUAGCUGGUCUGAGAGGAUGGCCAGCCACACGGGGACUGAGACACGGCCCCGACUCCUACGGGAGGCAGCAGCAAGGAAUUUUCCGCAAUGGGCGAAAGCCUGACGGAGCAACGCCGCGUGCGGGAAGACGCUUUUCGGAGUGUAAACCGCUGUUCGUGGGGACGAAGCACUGACGGUACCCACGGAGGAAGGCCCGGCUAACUACGUGCCAGCCGCCGCGGUAAGAC